AUCUAACUGGGAUAGCUCAGUUAGUAGAGCAUGAGACUCUUAAUCGCAGGCUCGUGGAUUUGAGCCCCAUGUUGGGCA
Molecule: non-coding RNA, 78 nt
Organism: Podarcis lilfordi (Lilford's wall lizard)
Lineage: Eukaryota; Metazoa; Chordata; Lepidosauria; Squamata; Lacertidae
Source: the annotation of a GenBank genome assembly